CCUACGGGAGGCAGCAGUGAGGAAUAUUGGUCAAUGGGCGGGAGCCUGAACCAGCCAAGUAGCGUGCGGGAUGAAGGCUCUACGGGUCGUAAACCUCUUUUGCACGGGGAUAACACCCUCCACUUGUCGAGCUCUGCAUGUACCUUGCGAAUAAGGUCCUGCUAAUUCCGUGCCAGCAGCCGCGGUAAUACGGAGGUCCCGAGCGUUAUCCGGCUUCAUUGGGGUUAAAGGGUGCGUAGGCGGGCGUUCAAGUCAGCGGUAAAAUCCUGGGGCUCAACCGCGCCCCGCAGUUGAAACUGGGCGGCUUGAGUACACGAGAGGCAGGCGGAAUUCGUGGUGUAGCGGUGAAAUGCAUAGAUAUCACGAGGAACCCCGAUUGCGAAGGCAGCCUGCCGGGGCGCGACUGACGCUGAGGCUCGAAGGUGGGGGUAUCAAACAGGAUUAGAUACCCUUGUAGUC
This 459-nucleotide ribosomal RNA is filed under the name uncultured bacterium. RNAcentral describes it as "partial 16S ribosomal RNA". It matches the Rfam family "Bacterial small subunit ribosomal RNA", at positions 338 to 795 of the family's 1533-position model. The record is from RNAcentral.